UACGAAGGGGGCUAGCGUUGCUCGGAAUCACAGGGCGUAAAGGGUGCGUAGGCGGGUCUUUAAGUCAGGGGUGAAAUCCUGGAGCUCAACUCCAGAACUGCCUUUGAUACUGAGGAUCUUGAGUACGGGAGAGGUGAGUGGAACUGCGAGUGUAGAGGUGAAAUUCGUAGAUAUUCGCAAGAACACCAGUGGCGAAGGCGGCUCACUGGCCCGUUACUGACGCUGAGGCACGAAAGCGUGGGGAGCAAACAGG
This 253-nucleotide ribosomal RNA is filed under the name uncultured bacterium. RNAcentral's name for it is "partial 16S ribosomal RNA". It matches the Rfam family "Bacterial small subunit ribosomal RNA", at positions 524 to 776 of the family's 1533-position model. The record is from RNAcentral.